Molecule: long non-coding RNA, 895 nt
Filed under: Homo sapiens (human)
Lineage: Eukaryota; Metazoa; Chordata; Mammalia; Primates; Hominidae
Description: HSALNT0201840
Source: RNAcentral
AAUGAGUGGCUACAUAGACAAUGUCAUAAACCAAAUGACGGUUUAUUCUUCAGAGAAGCAUCGUUGCAGUGGAAGAGUUUGGAUGAGAACAAGGCGCUACAAAUCAAUCAGGGAUUUGUUCUGUAGGCCUGUCAGGUCUAUAAAUAGCUAGACUCCUGCUUACCAAGUAGUGGAUGGAUGUACAUCUCCAGGCACAUUUGGAUUUACUAUUUCACUUGAACAGUUGGUGUUUACUGGCAGCAACAAGAACAAAAUUUAUAGCAGCAAAUGGAAGCUGAACUCGCAUGCUGGCUUUGCACUGAAGAACUUUGUGUUUGCCAUUUCCUAAUUGUGAAAACAAUAUGUCCAAGAUUUUGCAGUCAUCAGCAUUCUGAUGUAACGACUUCCAUCUGGUCAAAGGAAGAAAUUCAGAACCUCUAUCUCCUUUUGAAUUCUACUUCAGUGCAAAGGUAACUGGCUUAGGAGAAUGUUGGAAGACAAGAAAUUCAGACAAUACAUUCUGAAAAGCGACUAUAACAUCCACUUUUCCAGGGGAUAAUUUUCCUGAAGAGCAAACAGGGGUAGGGAAUUUGUCACGAUCUUCUUAAUGGAAGCGGCUCUAAUUGGAGCAAGAUGACAGGAUUACUUGGAGGUGAGAGAGGAUAAAGAAAGCAGGAUGAUUUGUGGCGCGUUCCAAUCGGAGGUAAUAAGAAGUCAGAGAUCCACAGAGACCAUGCAAUUGGAGACCAAUACGAAGGCAAUGGAGGCCAACAACGUGGUAAUAAGAAGUGGUUUAACAUCCCAUCUCAUCCCAUCUGGCAUUCAGAAUUUGGCACUGGUUAUUGAAAUAUGAAGCUCCUGAUGGUCCUCACACUCCUACAGUGACCUUCUUCACUCAUUAGCCAGGAGUUGAAGC